UGGGAUAUAGCCAAGCGGUAAGGCAACGGACUUUGACUCCGUCACUCGUGGGUUCAAAUCCCGCUAUCCCAGCCA
This 75-nucleotide transfer RNA is filed under the name [Eubacterium] siraeum. RNAcentral's name for it is "tRNA-Gln". It matches the Rfam family "tRNA". From Rfam's summary of the family: Transfer RNA (tRNA) molecules are approximately 80 nucleotides in length. Their secondary structure includes four short double-helical elements and three loops (D, anti-codon, and T loops). Lineage: Bacteria; Bacillati; Bacillota; Clostridia; Eubacteriales; Oscillospiraceae. RNAcentral also lists the same sequence under 7 other names. The record is from RNAcentral.